CUGGCGGCGUGCUUAACACAUGCAAGUCGAACGGUAAGGCUCCAGCUUGCUGGGGUACACGAGUGGCGAACGGGUGAGUAACACGUGGGUGACCUGCCCUGCACUUCGGGAUAAGCCUGGGAAACUGGGUCUAAUACCGGAUAGGACCGCACCGUGAGGGUGUGGUGGAAAGUUUUUUCGGUGUGGGAUGGGCCCGCGGCCUAUCAGCUUGUUGGUGGGGUAAUGGCCUACCAAGGCGGCGACGGGUAGCCGGCCUGAGAGGGUGGACGGCCACAUUGGGACUGAGACACGGCCCAGACUCCUACGGGAGGCAGCAGUGGGGAAUAUUGCACAAUGGGCGGAAGCCUGAUGCAGCGACGCCGCGUGGGGGAUGACGGCCUUCGGGUUGUAAACUCCUUUCACCAUCGACGAAGGGUUUCUGACGGUAGAUGGAGAAGAAGCACCGGCUAACUACGUGCCAGCAGCCGCGGUAAUACGUAGGGUGCGAGCGUUGUCCGGAAUUACUGGGCG
RNAcentral lists this ribosomal RNA (510 nucleotides) under Corynebacterium amycolatum. RNAcentral's name for it is "bacterial SSU rRNA". It matches the Rfam family "Bacterial small subunit ribosomal RNA", at positions 36 to 560 of the family's 1533-position model. Lineage: Bacteria; Bacillati; Actinomycetota; Actinomycetes; Mycobacteriales; Corynebacteriaceae. The record is from RNAcentral.